GUCCCCGGCCAGAGGAAGACAACAUUUUGUCAGACUUCCAACAGAACAUUCAAUUUGAUAUUUAUAAGUGCGAACACGAACCGUCUCUCUUGAUGGUAUUUCUUUACUCUUCUUGAAGGAGAAGUCGAUUUUUUUUAUGUAUUGAUGUUAAACACCCAGUGGCAAAUAUUACAUAUAUUAUCUGAACAAAACGUAAUAAAGUUUUGUGAAUAUAUGCUGGACGUAUUCAAUGUGCCAG
This 238-nucleotide long non-coding RNA is filed under the name Mytilus galloprovincialis (Mediterranean mussel). Lineage: Eukaryota; Metazoa; Mollusca; Bivalvia; Mytilida; Mytilidae. The record is from RNAcentral.